Molecule: transfer RNA, 70 nt
Filed under: Loxodonta africana (African savanna elephant)
Lineage: Eukaryota; Metazoa; Chordata; Mammalia; Proboscidea; Elephantidae
Rfam family: tRNA
About the family: Transfer RNA (tRNA) molecules are approximately 80 nucleotides in length. Their secondary structure includes four short double-helical elements and three loops (D, anti-codon, and T loops).
Source: Rfam by way of RNAcentral
UCAUUGGUGGUUCAUGGGUAGAAUCUCACCUCCCAUGCAGGAGACCCAGGUUCAAUUCCUGGCCAGUGCA